This 21-nucleotide unclassified non-coding RNA is filed under the name Mus musculus (house mouse). RNAcentral describes it as "oocyte_clustered_small_RNA11093". Lineage: Eukaryota; Metazoa; Chordata; Mammalia; Rodentia; Muridae. The record is from RNAcentral.
AAGAUGUCCGGGCAUACUGCU